AUUGAACGCUGGCGGCAGGCUUAACACAUGCAAGUCGAGCGAGCGGCGGACGGGUGAGUAAUGUCUGGGAAACUGCCUGAUGGAGGGGGAUAACUACUGGAAACGGUAGCUAAUACCGCAUACCAUCAGAUGUGCCCAGAUGGGAUUAGCUGGUGGGUGGGGUAAUGGCUCACCUAGGCGACGAGCCCUAGCUGGUCUGAGAGGAUGACGGGCCACACUGGAACGGGGCCACGGCCCAGACUCCUACGGGAGGCAGCAGUGGGGAUUAUUGCACAAUGGGCGCAAGCCGGAUGCAGCCAUGCCGCGUGUGUGAAGAAGGCCUUCGGGUUGUAAAGCACGUUCAGCGAGGAGGCGGUACUCGCAGAAGAAGCAACGGCUAACUCCGUGCCAGCAGCCGCGGUAAUUC
This 406-nucleotide ribosomal RNA is filed under the name uncultured bacterium. RNAcentral describes it as "partial 16S ribosomal RNA". It matches the Rfam family "Bacterial small subunit ribosomal RNA", at positions 29 to 526 of the family's 1533-position model. The record is from RNAcentral.